RNAcentral lists this ribosomal RNA (422 nucleotides) under uncultured Actinomycetes bacterium. Its description in RNAcentral is "bacterial SSU rRNA". It matches the Rfam family "Bacterial small subunit ribosomal RNA", at positions 233 to 671 of the family's 1533-position model. The record is from RNAcentral. Lineage: Bacteria; Bacillati; Actinomycetota; Actinomycetes.
GCGGCCUAUCAGCUUGUUGGUGGGGUAAUGGCCUACCAAGGCAACGACGGGUAGCUGGUCUGAGAGGAUGAUCAGCCACACUGUGACUGAGACACGGCCCAGACUCCUACGGGAGGCAGCAGUGGGGAAUCUUGCGCAAUGGGCGAAAGCCUGACGCAGCAACGCCGCGUGCGGGAUGAAGGCCUUCGGGUUGUAAACCGCUUUCAGCAGGAACGAAAAUGACGGUACCUGCAGAAGAAGGAGCGGCCAACUACGUGCCAGCAGCCGCGGUGACACGUAGGCUCCAAGCGUUGUCCGGAUUUAUUGGGCGUAAAGAGCUCGUAGGCGGUUUAGUAAGUCGGGUGUUAAAACUCUGGGCUCAACCCGGAGACGCCAUCCGAUACUACUAUGACUUGAGUUCAGGAGGGGAGACUGGAAUUCCU